RNAcentral lists this long non-coding RNA (817 nucleotides) under Salvia miltiorrhiza (redroot sage). RNAcentral describes it as "long non-coding RNA (SMIL_LNC011556)". The record is from RNAcentral. Lineage: Eukaryota; Viridiplantae; Streptophyta; Magnoliopsida; Lamiales; Lamiaceae.
GCACACAGCAGCUGCGCUGCAAGGCACCCCCCUUCGCCCUCUUCUCUCCUCCGGCGGUAGGCGUCGCCGGUCACCCCUCUCCCGACUCCCUCGACUUUAUUUCACUCAAGGUUGCCCCCACACACACAAACCAACACACGCCGCCCCUCUCUCGACGCCCCUCCUCUUCUCCCUCUCUCUCGGACUUCACGGCCGCGUACCACCAUCCCCGGCGACGAGCGCCGCUCUGUCAUCCUCACCAUCACCCUCGACCCCUCCAUUCUCUUCCUUCCGGCGACUGCAACAGCAAAAGCCACCGCCGACCGGUGACUCCGUCUCCCAUCUCUCUCUCUCCUGGGUCUGAUCGGCAGCAGCUGAGCCGCCGCCGACGCUCCUCCCUCUCCUCGGCUCAACCUUGGCCGAUGGUACCGCCAUCGCCGCCCUCAAAUUCCCAGCGAGUAGCAGCCACCAAACUGCCACCACCGCCGCCGUCGUUCUCCGCUCAACCCUCCACCCAGACCAGCUCCGACCAGCCCACCUCCUUCUCUCCAACCGUGGCCGGGCAGCAGCGGCACAGCCGCCGUGCCCUGCCUCCCUCCACUGAACAGCCCCGCUGUCCAGCCGCCGUCCACCCCCAUUUCAUCUCUCUCCCUCUCAUCUCACGCACACACCAACUAUGAGCUCACGCCCAGACACCACCCCUCGUCCGCCUCCCUCCUUGGCAACGGCGAGGGUGCCGCCACCUCCCUCUCGCUCUGCUGCGCCGGACGGACAACAGCGAUGAGCCGCCGCCGACCGCCGUAUCACUCCCCAGACUCGGCUCACACACCCAACAAAC